CAGAGUAUGAUGAUGAAAAUUUAUGAUAAGAGAUAUGCUUCAGUCAGAAAGAUCAAGGAAGUCUUCACACAAGGAAACAUAUCCUAAACCAAGAGCUAAAGAGGGAGCAGAAAGAAGUCAACUAGAGGCCCAUCUCAACUCCACAAAGAUCUGAGACACCUACAGAAGUAAAACAACAUGAACAUAGAUAUCCAGUGCUCCAAAGUUCUGAUUAAACGAGAAGACCCACACCUAAGUGUAUUCGACAAAUGAAUCUAUUUAUUUUCAUUUCUAUUCCAUACGACGCAUACCAGUCUGCAACUAUCUUUACAAUCAUAUCCUGUGAAGAAUACCUGAAGGUGCCUUUCUGAUUGACUUCUUCAAUCUAUAUGCAGAUUUGUGCUAAGCCAGUAAAUAAUUUGUAAC
Molecule: long non-coding RNA, 405 nt
Organism: Homo sapiens (human)
Lineage: Eukaryota; Metazoa; Chordata; Mammalia; Primates; Hominidae
Source: Ensembl